RNAcentral lists this ribosomal RNA (496 nucleotides) under uncultured bacterium. RNAcentral describes it as "partial 16S ribosomal RNA". It matches the Rfam family "Bacterial small subunit ribosomal RNA", at positions 29 to 507 of the family's 1533-position model. The record is from RNAcentral.
AUGAACGCUGGCGGCGUGCCUAAUACAUGCAAGUCGAGCGAACGGACGAGAAGCUUGCUUCUCUGAUGUUAGCGGCGGACGGGUGAGUAACACGUGGAUAACCUACCUAUAAGACUGGGAUAACUUCGGGAAACCGGAGCUAAUACCGGAUAAUAUUUUGAACCGCAUGGUUCAAAAGUGAAAGACGGUCUUGCUGUCACUUAUAGAUGGAUCCGCGCUGCAUUAGCUAGUUGGUAAGGUAGCGGCUUACCAAGGCAACGAUGCAUAGCCGACCUGAGAGGGUGAUCGGCCACACUGGAACUGAGACACGGUCCAGACUCCUACGGGAGGCAGCAGUAGGGAAUCUUCCGCAAUGGGCGAAAGCCUGACGGAGCAACGCCGCGUGAGUGAUGAAGGUCUUCGGAUCGUAAAACUCUGUUAUUAGGGAAGAACAUAUGUGUAAGUAACUGUGCACAUCUUGACGGUACCUAAUCAGAAAGCCACGGCUAACUACGUG